Carassius carassius (crucian carp) is the source of this 1336-nucleotide long non-coding RNA. RefSeq lists it as uncharacterized. The transcript is spliced from 4 exons. Lineage: Eukaryota; Metazoa; Chordata; Actinopteri; Cypriniformes; Cyprinidae. The record is from RefSeq and is a predicted model, not a curated record.
AGGGGUAGCUGCAGCCUGGAGCAAUGGGAGCGCCGAAAGGUAGGGGCGUGGCAAAAGGUUUCUCAUUGGUGAAAGGAGUUUUACUGUGCUGGCAAAUCAGCAGUAAAUAUACAUUUACGUCAUUUCCUUAGACAAGGUGGCAGCGAUAAGACGUGAGGUAAUUAUUCAUCGUUUAUACGUUUAUCUAUACUUUAUAUACCACAAAUAUGUAUAUUAAGAUAAGUUUGUUACAAUACGAUCAUAAUUUUUCCUUUGCGUUAUAUCUUGCAGCUUUAGUAAUUAGUUUAUUGUUGUUGACAGACAUAUGUACAGUGAGACAAAACGAUGACCGCAUCGACGGCGAAUCCUUCAGAGAUGAUAGUUUAUAUCUGCGUCCUUUUUGUACAAUAGAGUACAGAAUACAUCCUGUCUCCAACUAAUGCAGAGUAUAUUCAAGCUGUCAACACACUGGUGGUGAAGAACCCUUUUCAGAGAAAUAUAGAAAGAAAUGACUGUGUAACUUGUGUUGGGGAGGAUUCAGUGUCUGUUGAGGCACAUGUGAAUGUGUUAUAAAGUGAGUAUCAAAAAACACAUCCAGACCCCUCGACGGUCAAAGACCACACGACAGGAACAUGCUCCUGGAGACGCUGAGAAAGCACGGAAGGAAUGUCUGUGGAGGAUGUACUCAAAAAAUACACAUACUUCAGGACACCUGCUGGAGGGGACCCGGCUACACCUUUCCUACCAUACACCUGAUGGAUACUGACUGUAAAAUGGCAAUCAUAGUUCGAGGGCUCAGUGUGGUGACAGAAGAUGGAACAGAUGUGUGUCAGUGCAUCAGCCUUGAUGAAGCCUUCAUAACAGCCUUCUGUGUGUAUUCUGCUUUCAACAUUACAUAUCCACCACACCUGAGAAAGACACUGACUUUCCUUCAGAGGCACAUUGUCAACAUUAGAAGAUGGAGUCAAGCACUGUCAGUAACUUUACUCUGAAUGAUUAGCCUCUUGUAUUAGAUCCUCAUGCCUUGACUGUACCAUCGCCCAAAGUGCACUCGGAGGACAUUCACUCUUUUGAAGUUAACCCAACAUGUUGGAGUGGUAGAUGCACAUUAACCAAAUAGCUUGCUCUAUUCUUUUUCUAUUCUAUCUGUUUUCUUUUUAUUUAUUAUAUUAUUUAAAAGCCCUUGCUAUGUGUACUGUGUUAAGCUAUCUGAGACUUGUUAUAGCUCUUAUAUAUCAUUGCUCUUUUUGUUGUUUUUGAUUGCUUCCACUUUGUCCUCAUUUGUAAGUCGAUUUGAAUAAAAGCGUCUGCUAAAUGAAUAAAUGUAAAUGUAAAUGUUAGUAUAACCUGUGGUAUA